AAUGCCUUCCACGCAUGAAAAAACAUCGAUAACCAACUUUUCUAACUUCUUUCCUCUUUGCUUUGCUUUUUUCCAUGAAAAUCUGAUGCUUUAAAGCCAAAAACAACCCCCCCCUAAACAGUUAAAUUCUUCACCUCUUAUCCAUCUUUCCUACUAUAUAUAGCCAUUGUCACUUGCUAGCAAUCCAUCAAUUAAGAAAUUCUUUGACCUCCCCGCCUAGCGCGAAAUAUUUUAGAAUAAUCUUCAAAUGGAUCAUGGACAAAAGGUUUCUUCCAACUUGAAAAUUUUGGAAAAAGAUGGUAAGAAAAGAGAGAAAAAAUCAGCAGGGACGCGGUUCGUGGUGGAGGAUGUGAACAAGAUGGCUGAUGAUUUUAUCAAAAAUUUCAGGAAGCAACUUAAUUUUGAAAGAGAAGAAUCAUUUAAGCGUUUCCAGGAGAUGAUUAGGAGAGGAACAUAGGAAUGAUGUUUAUUCAAUAUAAUUUCAUGAUAUACGUAAUUCUUUCUGUUAUUUCCGUGGAUUAUCUAGUAUUUUUUUUUAAAUUAUAUUGGUGAUUAGUACAAGGAAUAAAGUUGCCAACUGUUACAAAUGAAAACAUAUUUAUCUGACACUGAGAACAUCUUGCAGCAUUUUUUCCCUGAAAAAACUUUGGAGUUAAAUUCAGAUUGGAUAUAUUGGAAGACAAUUCUUUGAAUUUUAAUUCAUACUGAAAUAUCUCAAGAUUUACAAAGCUUCAACAAGAAAGGAGGAGAUCAAGAUGCUGCAUAACUUGAUCAUGAAAAAUAAUACAUGUAUUAGUUUCGGUAUUAUCAAUCCCUUGUUUGGUACUCCC
RNAcentral lists this long non-coding RNA (830 nucleotides) under Nicotiana benthamiana. Its description in RNAcentral is "long non-coding RNA (NBEN_LNC041077)". The record is from RNAcentral. Lineage: Eukaryota; Viridiplantae; Streptophyta; Magnoliopsida; Solanales; Solanaceae.